GACGGUACGGGAAGAAUAAGCACCGGCUAACUACGUGCCAGCAGCCGCGGUAAUACGUAGGGUGCGAGCGUUAUCGGAAUUACUGGGCGUAAAGCGUGCGCAGGCGGUUUGCUAAGACCGAUGUGAAAUCCCCGGGCUCAACCUGGGAACUGCAUUGGUGACUGGCAGGCUAGAGUAUGGCAGAGGGGGGUAGAAUUCCACGUGUAGCAGUGAAAUGCGUAGAGAUGUGGAGGAAUACCGAUGGCGAAGGCAGCCCCCUGGGCCAAUACUGACGCUCAUGCACGAAAGCGUGGGGAGCAAACAGGAUUAGAUACCCUGGUAGUCCACGCCCUAAACGAUGUCAACUAGUUGUUGGGGAUUCAUUUCCUUAGUAACGUAGCUAACGCGUGAAGUUGACCGCCUGGGGAGUACGGUCGCAAGAUUAAAACUCAAAGGAAUUGACGGGGACCCGCACAAGCGGUGGAUGAUGUGGAUUAAUUCGAUGCAACGCGAAAAACCUUACCUACCCUUGACAUGGUCGGAAUCCUGCUGAGAGGUGGGAGUGCUCGAAAGAGAACCGGCG
This 562-nucleotide ribosomal RNA is filed under the name Burkholderia pyrrocinia. Its description in RNAcentral is "bacterial SSU rRNA". It matches the Rfam family "Bacterial small subunit ribosomal RNA", at positions 471 to 1032 of the family's 1533-position model. The record is from RNAcentral. Lineage: Bacteria; Pseudomonadati; Pseudomonadota; Betaproteobacteria; Burkholderiales; Burkholderiaceae.